UAUUUACGGAUAAAAAGGUGGCAUUUCAGGGGACACUCAGUCUCCUGUCUCUGAGGUGGAGAGUAAUUUCGUUGCCGAGCUCUUUCUCUCUGUACCACUUGAUGGCACACUUGUAUAGUACACUGCAGGCUGAAGGCAAGAGAAAUCCACAUGCAAAUCCCGUCCAAAGUUGUUCCACUUAAUUUGUUCAGCAUCAUGAAUGUACCUGUUUAAUUGAUUAAAGAAAUUUAACACUGUAGUAUUGAGUAGGAAUAAGCAGGGCAUACAAAAUAAUUACAUCAAGAAAGCCCUGUAUUUUGCAAUUUUAAUCCCAGAAGUUUGCCUGGAUAAUUCAUUAGUUUUUCAUUAUUUCAGUAAGUUUGGUAAGAAACUUGCCUCUGUCCUGCUGAGCCUUUUCUUGCAUGGGGGAAAAUUUUUCCUUGCCCAAUAUUUUAUCCUUCCUUCUAGAAGGUUUGUAGCAGAUCUGCUCAUUGCCUAUGUUCAUGGGUAGUUCAGGGUUUUCAGUUCAGAAGAAAUAAUGAAUUGCUAUUGAAACUGAACAGCUAUACCUUCUGUUUGGCUAAACUGUAGGUGGAAAUUAGUUUAUGUCCUUUGAGCAAUAAAACUAUGAUUCAACUUCUUAUCAAAGUAACAUUCUCCAGUGGUCUAUUUGAGUUUAUUAAUGCGUAUUAAAUGUAGCCACUUCUCUCUGCAUGAUUAUACAUACAUCAGUGAAUGCUGCAGAUGGCUACAGACCACAGGUAGAAACAACUUGCUGGUCUGUUGGAUUUUACGGCUUCAUGAAGAAAGCAUUGCAACAUUUAUCAGCAGAAUUUAUUACUUAUUAUUUAUGGGCAGACUCUUAAUGGAAAAAUGUAAAUGACCACAGCCUGAAGUUAAAAAAUUUCAGAGACUGGGGUGAAAUAUGUAGAGAGUGGCUGACUGUUAUAGAAACACUUUCUGUUCAAGGGCUGGGAUCCAGAUUCUGAAGGGGAGCCUCAAAGGGGAAACUGGGAGCACCUUGGUACACAUUAAUGAGUGCCAAGUGACCCUUGUAUUUACCAAAGCCUAAAUCCCACCACCACUUCUUGCAAAAACUUUAUUUGGUCCACAAUGCAGUAGCUAAGAUUCUUUCCUGGCCAUGACUUUAACUGUCUCUUACUUUGAUGCUUCAUCAGUUCUUUAAGGGCUAAAUUAGCAAGGGCAGACUUCUUGCCUUUGUUCUCUAAUUAUCCUUGUUUAACUUAGUGACUUUCUUCCCCUCCUCCCCCAGCACUCCUUCCCUACUCCUUCAAAUGCAUGGGUAAAAGAUGAGCUGGAUGUUUAAACCAGGGAGAGUUCAUGCUUUUUAUUUUUCCUGAAAAAACAGAGAGCAGAGUGGGAGCCUCAUAAAUAAGUGUCAUGGGUAGGUAGCACCUGGGAGGUUGUGAAGCGUACACUGUCCUGACUUCCUCCAUUACCCACUGAAUUGCAUUGGCAGUGAUAAUUGCAGCUUCAGGAAAAAUAACUGCUAAACAAUGAUAGCAGUAAAGCCCUACAGCCUUUCUCAAUUAAAUUAAGUGGAAAUUUAGUCCUUGAGUACUACUUCUGAGAUGGGCUGAGCAGAAUAAGAGCAAGCACCUGGUGGGUUGCAGGGUAGUGUAGGGCAGGAGAAACACUGCUGGCAUUGCUCUGUGACCACUGUUGCCAUGCCCCAUCUGAGAAGUCAGUGUCCACCUCUGCCCUAGAGCUAAUGUUGGCAUGAGAAUAAAAACAACAGAUUGCAGGCUAAAUCUACUCCAACAGAGGCCAUGUAAGCUGGUGAAUUUAGGGGAAGGCCAGUGCCACCUCUAUAGCCAUCAUUUCUCUUCUGGUUUUGCAUCAGCAGUUUGUGCUUCUACCAUUAUUCAUUUGUCUCAGCUGCAACCUCUUGAUCUUUGAAGGCUAUUUUGGUAUUGUUAGAAUGUCCUUUCUACUUCAUUUAUUUCUAUCCUUUCUGCUUAUCCUGGCACUUUUACUUUUUAUCAACACCAUCUGCAAACAUCUCACAUUUGCUAGUGGGUCUUACAAACUUUAGUCUUACAAAUUAGGACUUUUUGUCUCUGUACAUUCCUGUGUGAGGAGGUACUGGAGUAAUUUUUGGUAGCAAAGGAAAUAUCUUUACAGUCAUUUGAUGUAAACUACCCAAAAUAAAAGAAUGAAGCAAAUGAA
Molecule: long non-coding RNA, 2169 nt
Filed under: Taeniopygia guttata (zebra finch)
Lineage: Eukaryota; Metazoa; Chordata; Aves; Passeriformes; Estrildidae
Description: lncRNA (ENSTGUG00000018947.1)
Source: RNAcentral